Molecule: long non-coding RNA, 168 nt
Organism: Gavialis gangeticus (Gharial)
Lineage: Eukaryota; Metazoa; Chordata; Crocodylia; Gavialidae
Exons: 3
Source: RefSeq, a predicted model, not a curated record
CCGUCUCUCCUUUUCAAUGGUCUUGAUGUUUCACUAUUCAAACUAUCCUUUCUUCUACAAUUUUGCUGUCUCUUAGCCAUUCCUUGUAAUGUCUUUAUUUCAAAGCUGUACAGAUUAUUUUUAGCUCUAGCUAAAAACCUUAACUCAGGCGUAGAAAUGACUAACUCU